Molecule: small RNA, 2502 nt
Filed under: Pan troglodytes (chimpanzee)
Lineage: Eukaryota; Metazoa; Chordata; Mammalia; Primates; Hominidae
Description: retained intron
Source: RNAcentral
AUCAGGUUUACAAGCAUGAGCCACCAUGCCUGGUUCAGCAUGUCAUAUUCUAAGCAAUACGAAAAGAAUGAAGGCCAGUUGCAGAGGCUCAUGCCUGUAAUUUCAGCACUUUGGGAGUCAAGGUGGGUGGAUCACUUGAGGUCAGGAGUUUGAGACCAGCCUGGCCAACAUGGUAAAACCCCAUCUCCACUAAAAACACAAAAAUUAGCUGGGCGUGGUGGUGUGUACUCAUAAUCCCAGCUACUCAGGAGGCUGAGGUAGGAGGAUUGCAUGAACCCAGGAGGCCCAAGUUGCAGCAAGCCAAGACUGCACCACUGCACUCCAGCCUGGGUGACAGAAUGAGACUCCGUUCCAACGCGAAGUCUCUUAAGACCAAGGAGAGCAGACAUUCUGAUGUUUCCCACAUUGACAGCACUCAUAAGGCCUUUCUCCAAUAUGAACUCUCCUGUGUUUAACGAGAUGGGAUGCUUCAGCAAAGGAUUUCCCGUAUUCACUGUACUCAUAAGGCCUUUCUCCUGUGGGAACUCUGAUGAUGAAGGAGGGUAGAGCUUCGCUGAAAUGUUUUUCCACAUUUGGUGCAUUCAUAAGGCCUUUCUCCAGUAUGAAUUCUCCUGUGUUUAAUGAGACUGGAACAUUCAGCAAAGGAUUUUCCACAUUCACUGCACUUGUAAGGCUUUUGUCCAGAAUGAACUCUUUUAUGAACAUGAAGAGCAGAGCUGGAAAGAAAUGAUUUACCACAUUCACUGCAUUCAUACGGCCUUUCUCCAGUGUGAAUCCUCUGAUGUAUAGUCACGCUGUGCUUAUUGCCAAAUAAUUUCCCACAUACCUCACACGCAUAUGGCCUUUCUCCAGUGUGAACUCUCUCAUGAACGAGAAGAUGAUACUUCCUGUUAAAUAAUUUCCCACAUUCCCUACAAUUGUAAGGUCUUUCCCCAGUGUGAAGUCUCUGGUGUUCAGUGAGGUGGGAUCUGUACCUAAAUGAUUUCCCACAUUCCUUGCACUCAUAGGGCCUUUCUCCAGUGUGACCUCGCUGAUGGUGAACGAGGUUGCCCUUUUGACCAAAAGAUUUUCCACAUUCUCCACACUUGUAAGGCCUUUCUCCAGUGUGAACACGCUGAUGGUUAAUAAGGCAAAACUUCUGACGAAAAGAUUUCCCACAUUCCCCACAGUGAUAAGCUCUCUCUCCAGUGUGACCUCGCUGAUGUUGAAUGAGGUUACCCUUUUGACCAAAAGAUUUCCCAUAUUCUCCACACUCAUAAGGCCCUUCUCCAGUGUGAACACGCUGAUGGCUAAUAAGGCUGCCCUUCUGACUAAAAGAUUUCCCACACUCCCCACAGGGAUAAGCUGUCUUUCCAGUGUGGACUCGCUGAUGUUGAAUAAGGCUGCUCUUUCGACUAUAAGAUUUCCCACACUCUCCACAAUCAUAAGGUCCUUUUCCAGUGUGAUCUCGCUGAUGAUUACUGAAGCUGACAUAUCUGCUAAAGGAUUUUCCACAAUCACUGCACACAUAACAUCCAUCUCUAGUGAAAAGUUUCUGGUGUGGAAUAACUGAGUGUUUGGUGCUGAAGGCUUUUGUGCGUUUUCCACACCUGUAAUUAGUUUUUCCCUCCUGAAAGGGUGGGCCAUGCGUAGUUUCACUGUCUUUCUUCUCUACGGGGUAAGCAGCUUCUUCUUGGCACAAUCCUGAACUGGGCAGAACGUCCUUCCCAAACUCGCGGAAGACAAAUGGCUCCUGUGACACCCUGAGCUUACGUUUCUUUACAAACGAUGCUUCUCUGACACUCUUUCUGUAGAAUUUCUCUCCAAUAUGCUGCUUCUGGUGCUGAUGAAGGUUUGCAGUGUCAUCCAAGUUUUUUCCACAUGUUCCACUCCUGUUCAGCUUCUGCUUGUGAUGAGUUUCCUGGUGGUCAGCAAAGUGAAAAACAUCCUCCAAGUUGAGGCCACACAUUUCACAGGGGUGAGCCUUCUUAGGAGAAACACCUGCCCUAGGAGUCCUGCUCUGAGACUCUCUUUGUACAGAAAUGCUCUGCUUACAAGGUGCCUCCUCAUCUUUUGAUCCACACCAACAACCUGAGAGCAAGAAAAUGCUGGUCAAGUGCAAAGUACCUCCGACGGGAAGGCACAGCCCACCCACAAGUACAUCUCACAAAUUGAGGAAUUAAUCUAUAGAAAUAUUUGCAGGAACACAAUGUUGGCUUCAAGUUAAAGAUGGGGCUGCUGGCUGGGCGCAGUGGCUCACACCUGUAAUCCCAGCACUUUGGGAGGCUGAGGCGGGUGGAUCACCUGAGGUCAGAAGUUCAAGACCAGCGUGACCAACAUGGUGAAACCCCAUCUCUACUGAAAAUACAAAAAUUAGCUGGGUGUGGUUGUGGACACCUGUAAUCCCAGCUACUCGGGAGGCUAAAGCAGGAGAAUCAUUUGAACCCAGAAGGCGUAGGUUUGUAGUGAGCAGUGAUUAUGCCACUGCACCCCAGCCUGGACAACAGAGUGAGACUCAAUCAC